CGAAUACAUUACUGAAGAUCAAGGACGCGCCAUUGUCGCCGGCGGGCGUGGUCUAUGUUAUAGUUGUAUAUAAACUGGAGCAACUCUCAGAUCAGCAUCACUUGAGAGUAGCCAUCCCAAGAAACUUCACAAUGUUCUUCAGAUUCAUCGCUUUCUUCGCCCUGCUGGCGGUAGCCUUCGCCAACCCCAAGCCGGAUCCCCAAGUUCUGGCUUACACCGCUCCAGCUGUCUUCCCAGCUGCAGCCAGCGCAUAUUAUGGCUCCGGUUACUACGCUAACCCUUACGUGGGCGCAGCCUACCCAUACGCAUACAACUACUUCGUCAAAUAGAUUGUAAACAAACGUACUUAUGACAACCUCUAUCGACCCAAAGCGUGAAAUAUGUCCAUUAAUUAAUUAAUUUCUUAAUAAAUUUGAAAAGUGU
Molecule: long non-coding RNA, 423 nt
Organism: Leptidea sinapis
Lineage: Eukaryota; Metazoa; Arthropoda; Insecta; Lepidoptera; Pieridae
Exons: 2
Source: RefSeq, a predicted model, not a curated record